This 119-nucleotide ribosomal RNA is filed under the name Pteropus alecto (black flying fox). The record is from RNAcentral. Lineage: Eukaryota; Metazoa; Chordata; Mammalia; Chiroptera; Pteropodidae.
GUCUAUGGCCAUGCUACCCUGAACAAGCCUGAUCCUGUCUGAUCUCGGAAGCUAAGCAGGGUCGGGCCUGGUUAGUACUUGGAUGGGAGACCACCUGGGAAGACCAGGUGCUGUAGGCA